This is a non-coding RNA of Sturnus vulgaris (Common starling), 101 nucleotides long. Lineage: Eukaryota; Metazoa; Chordata; Aves; Passeriformes; Sturnidae. The record is from RefSeq and is a predicted model, not a curated record.
UAACAGAUGAUCCAAAGUUCCCCUCGAUUUUGCCUCCCGACCGUCGCAAGGAGACCUCGAGGACCCCCACCCAGGCUGACUCCGAACAAUGGUUUCCUGGC